RNAcentral lists this ribosomal RNA (164 nucleotides) under Bouteloua gracilis (blue grama). RNAcentral's name for it is "5.8S ribosomal RNA". It matches the Rfam family "5.8S ribosomal RNA". From Rfam's summary of the family: 5.8S ribosomal RNA (5.8S rRNA) is a component of the large subunit of the eukaryotic ribosome. The record is from RNAcentral. Lineage: Eukaryota; Viridiplantae; Streptophyta; Magnoliopsida; Poales; Poaceae.
CACAUGACUCUCGGCAACGGAUAUCUCGGCUCUCGCAUCGAUGAAGAACGUAGCAAAAUGCGAUACCUGGUGUGAAUUGCAGAAUCCCGUGAACCAUCGAGUUUUUGAACGCAAGUUGCGCCCAAGGCCUUCUGGCUGAGGGCACGUCUGCCUGGGCGUCACGC